Molecule: RNA transcript, 2459 nt
Organism: Mesocricetus auratus (golden hamster)
Lineage: Eukaryota; Metazoa; Chordata; Mammalia; Rodentia; Cricetidae
Gene: Trmt1
Gene name: tRNA methyltransferase 1
Exons: 18
Source: RefSeq, a predicted model, not a curated record
CUUCUUUCCCUGAAAAGAGAAAGCCUAAGACCCAGGGUGGUGAGCUUCCUUGCCGAAUAGCUAACAUACUACCUGACCUAGAAGGAGCAUCAAGGAGGCAGCUAGGUUCUGGGAUCAGGAGCUCCUGAGGCAAAAGUCAGUCUCAAAGAGACAACAGAGCUUCAGGGGACACAGAAUUAAGGCCCAAGCAGCAGGUUGGGCCUAGAAAGCUAGGAAGCAUAGACAGGCUGCGAGGUCUCGUCUGUUAAGACUUGAGCCCUCAGGUCCCGGCGCCAGAAGGCUGAGGAGGAACACUCAGACACAGUUUUAAGCGCUUUAUGGAAGUGAGAUUUCGUGGAACUGAGGAAACUCGCUCAAGAUCACACAGAGGGAAGUGACUGAAUGCUAAGAUUUUAAACGUAGGCUCGAAAGGAGGACUGAGGCGCCCGUGGAUGUCCCACGCGAGGACGGUUCUGUGGCUGAGCCGCCCUCUCCGUGUGGUCCGCGUUGUCUGCAGGGCUCAGUUCAUGGAACAGAAGGCCCAGGGGCCGCCCUCUCCGCCAGCGAUGGAGAACGGCACACAGCCCUGCCAAGAGCGCCCACCGGCGGCGACGGUCACCGAGGGCGCCGCCAAGAUCGUCUUCCCCAGCGCCAACGAGGUUUUCUACAACCCGGUGCAGGAGUUCAACCGGGACCUGACAUGUGCUGUGAUCACUGAAUUUGCUCGAAUUCAUCUUGGGGCCAAGGGAAUCCAGCUCAAGGUGCCCGGAGAGGAAGACUUGCAGAGAGUGUCUGAGAACUUGUCUGAGCAAGAGGAGGGAAAGGCUGAGCAGAAAGAGACUGAAAACCUGGCCCCAAGAGACCAGACGCGCACAGCUGCAGUUGGUGAGGUCUGCGAGGAAGGUCUACGGGUGCUGGAAGGCCUGGCGGCCUCCGGUCUGCGCUCCAUCCGAUUUGCCCUCGAGGUUCCCGGCCUCCAGUCUGUGGUUGCCAAUGAUGCUUCUGCCCGGGCUGUAGAACUUAUGGACCGGAACGUGCAGCUCAAUGGUGUGGCACAUCUUGUACAGCCCAACCAGGCAGAUGCCCGGAUGCUGAUGUACCAACACCAGAAGGUGUCUGAGCGUUUUGAUGUCAUUGACCUGGACCCCUAUGGCAGCCCCGCCCCCUUCCUGGAUGCAGCAGUGCAGGCUGUGAAUGAUGGAGGACUUCUGUGUGUCACCUGCACGGACAUGGCGGUAUUGGCAGGCAACAACGGAGAGACGUGCUACAGCAAGUAUGGGGCCAUGGCCCUCAAGAGCCGGGCCUGCCAUGAAAUGGCCCUGAGGAUUGUGCUGCAUAGCCUGGACCUGCAUGCCAACUGCUACCAGCGCUACGUGGUGCCACUGCUCAGCAUCAGUGCCGACUUCUAUGUGCGGGUUUUUGUGCGCAUUUUCACAGGCCAGGCCAAGGUUAAGUCCUCAGCCAGCAAGCAGGCCCUGGUGUACCAGUGUGUGGGUUGUGGAGCCUUCUAUCUGCAACGCCUUGGCAAAGCGUCGGGAGACCCUGGUGGCAGGAUCAAGUUCUCUGCGGCCUGUGGUCCUCCAGUGACUCCUGAGUGUGAACACUGUGGGCAGCGACACCAGCUUGGAGGCCCCAUGUGGGCAGACCCCAUCCAUGACCUAGACUUUGUGGGCCGAGUUCUUGAUGCGGUGACCACUAAUCCUGGCCGCUUCCACACCUCCAAGCGGAUCCAAGGUGUCCUGAGUGUUGUUACUGAGGAACUUCCCGACGUCCCUCUCUACUACACACUGGACCAUCUGAGCAGCACCAUCCGCUGCAACACGCCCAGCCUUCUGCAGCUCCGGUCAGCUCUCCUCCACGCUGGCUUCCGAGUCUCUCUCUCCCAUGCCUGUAAGAAUGCAGUGAAGACAGAUGCUCCCCCGCUAGCCCUCUGGGACAUCAUGCGUUGCUGGGAGAAGGAGUGUCCAGUGAAACGGGAGCGGCUGUCAGAAAGCAGCCCAGCAUUCCGAAUUCUGGCCGUGGAGCCCAGCCUCCACCCAUCUGUGCAGGCUGAAGGCCAACUUCAACAUCCGGAAAGACGCCAACCCCAGCUCCCGCCAGCAAGGACUCAAGCGCUUCCAGGCCAAUCCAGAAGCCAACUGGGGUCCCCGGCCCCGCGCCCGGCCAGGGUGCAAGGCAGCAAGGAAGGACCCGGAGGAGAGGCGGAAGCUGCUGCAGAAUAAACGGAAGGAGCCAGCUGAGGACCCAGCCCAGCGGGCAGCUCGCCUCAAGACCUUUCCUUGCAAACGGUUCAAGGAGGGUACUUGUCAGCGAGGGGACCAGUGCUGUUAUUCACACAGCCCUGCGGCCCCUGUGGCCUCUGUGGAUACUCCCUGCACAGACUGUCCAGAGACCACCAGGAUCUCCCCCGGACCAGAGGCUGCUGGAGGGGGCACUGCUGGGCCAGGUGUGGACUGAGACAAUAAAGACUUAUGGCUCUC